UCUUUUCUCCGUCUGGUUCAGACGUAAACAGUUGGAGAGAGAGAGAGAGAGAGAGAGAGAGAGAGAGAGAAAUUUCGGGGCGAUUUCCGGCUUCCUAGCCUUCGACUGCGUUGCCGCUUGCUAUCCAGAGUGUCAAAUUCAAUGUUCAAAUCACAGAUCCAACUAGAUCGAUUAAAGCAACAGUCUUUCCUUUCCUGAGGUUGCAGGACAAUUUUAUGCAAUUACAGCAUCCUAAAUGGCACCAAAUGCAACUGGCAUCCCAAAUGGCACCAAAUGCAACUGGUGAAGCCAGCAACAACUUCCACUCCCGUUGCUCCACAACUUAGCUGAAUCCAAAAAGUGCCACAUGACAUUUAAGGCCUACAUGUGCAAAACCUAUGCAGCAAUCGGCAAGUGCAGAUUCAACGUCCACUCAAUCUCCAGCUAAGGCACUGUCAAGGAUUUGUGACCAAUUUUCAAGCGGCCAAAUAGACAAAAUUUCAGUAUUCCGGAGGGCAUGCUGUCCGCUUUUUGGUCACAAGAGCACAUGAAAAUGGAUUCUUUUGGAGCUGCAGACGCAUCAAUGCUUCUCAAUACAAAGAGCAGAUGAAGAGCUUGCAGGAGAGGAAGGAGGGGUUUAAUAUAACUACUGCUAUCUAUGACUAUUGCGAGCUUUACUGGUGUUAUGCUCCUUCAGCGUCUAUAAAUAGACUGCGCACUAUGUGGUCUGUAUGUAAAUCAUCUAAUCCUUUUGCUACUUUGAUCAAUCUAUGUAAUAUAUAUUUCUACUUGUUUC
Long non-coding RNA from Rhododendron vialii, 775 nucleotides. RefSeq lists it as uncharacterized. The record is from RefSeq and is a predicted model, not a curated record. The transcript is spliced from 5 exons. NCBI's taxonomy places the organism in Eukaryota, Viridiplantae, Streptophyta, Magnoliopsida, Ericales, Ericaceae.